AAGAUAUUAAGAUAAACCCUAGAAAGUUUCGCAGACA
This 37-nucleotide transfer RNA is filed under the name Gadopsis bispinosus. RNAcentral's name for it is "partial tRNA-Phe". Lineage: Eukaryota; Metazoa; Chordata; Actinopteri; Centrarchiformes; Percichthyidae. The record is from RNAcentral.